Myotis brandtii (Brandt's bat) is the source of this 56-nucleotide non-coding RNA. The record is from Rfam. Lineage: Eukaryota; Metazoa; Chordata; Mammalia; Chiroptera; Vespertilionidae.
GGCGGUUCUCGGGUGACGUACCCUGGAAUUGGGCUCCCUCCUCUCUGGUUCCGGGG